Long non-coding RNA from Equus caballus (horse), 1554 nucleotides. Lineage: Eukaryota; Metazoa; Chordata; Mammalia; Perissodactyla; Equidae. The record is from Ensembl.
CAAGAAGGUCAGGGAGCCUAACUCAAGCCCUGAGCUCUGCCCAGCCCACACCUCUCAGGGCAGGAGGCCAUCUGGGUUAUUGAGGUGCUAGCAGGUUCUAGCAACAGGAGGCAGCUGAUGGGGGUGUGUCCUCCUUGCCCCCGGAGUCGGAGAUGUGGGAAAGUUGCGGGCUGGAUCUGGGAGGCACCAGGUCAUGUGAGGCAGAGAAAACCAGGAGGCCAGGCCACUGGGCACAGCUGCCAGUGCCUUAGACCAGAACUGGUGCCCUUCCUCCCUUUUCUUCUUUCCUCCUCCCUCCCUCCCUUCCUUCCCUGCUUAUUGGCAGUGUUCAUCUGUGCAACGUACUAGGAGUAUACAGAAUAUGUAUUCCUAGUAUGAGGAAUAGUCCUAAUCCUACUGUAACGGAUUGUGUGUGACUUCUGGGAGAUUACAGACGAACGGGGAGACAGACAGACUAAAGUAUGGCUUGCCAAGCGGUGCCAUGUCCACACCCGGGAUCUAAACCGGCGAACCCUGGGCCGUCAAGAAGAGGAACGUGCGAACUUAACCACUGCGCCACCGGGCCGGCCCCUAAAAGCCGCCACUCUUAUUCUUCCCACUACUGCUGCUGUCUGCGUAGAUGCCCCUGUCCCUCACCAGACUCAGGAUCCUUGAGGGCAGGGACCAGCCCCUAGCGUAGGGGCUGUAACAAGACCGGCAUCCAGUGAUUGUGGAAGUGAACCGCAUCGACUUGCUCGUGGACCCAGAUAGAAUCGACCUGUAGGCAGACUCGCCUCCUCGGUCAUCUCUCCACCCCUGCCCAAAGGAGCAGCCUUUGGUUUUAGAUACCCGAAAUUCUUCCGGAACGUCAGUUUGGCCUUCCUGGUUCAUCACUGUCGUUUUGGCAUUUCCUUGGUGCUCCUUCUAAAGGCUCCUGACCCCUCGGGACAAACACGCCACUUCAGUUUGCGCCACUUCUGAUGGAUUGGUAGUGGUUCUCCUAGAAUAUCAUGAUGAUAAGGAUUCUGUAGACGACAGGGGGCUGCUCAGAAGAAAGAGCAUUAAGAUGGCUUAGCAAUGUCUGCCUUGCGGGAGGAAGGGCUCCUCUGCCUUAAUGUGAAGAGGUAGUUUGUUGAAUGCUUUUCCUACAUUAAGCCAAGACUGAGAGUGUGGGCUUUUGCCUCUGGCGGACGCUCAGGGAAGGUGAGGAGAAGAGUAGCCGAGGGCUCCAAAGUGUUGACGCUGUUUCCUUUGAAUCCACUGUUUCAAUGCAGAGACGCCUAAUUCCACGGCGAUGGAGGUGCCCACCUAGAAUGAAAGGAGCUUGGAUGCUUCUGAAGGAGGGAGACCUCACAACCUCAUUCUGGAAACGGGCACAUGUGGCCCAGUGGGCAGGUGUGAGGGGCCCACUGUAAAACUGGAGUUUCCUGGAUGAAAUUCUGCAUGGAAUGUAAUGUUUUUUAAAGAAUGAGUUAUAAAAAUAUAUCGAUUUGAAGUUUACGUAUCUUUUAUUGAAAGCCAAUGGUAACCACAGCAUUUGUUCAGCUGUAGAACUUAGACCAAUAAAAUAUGUUU